GGGCGUUUAACUCAGUUGGUCAGAGUGCCUCCCUUACAAGGAGGAAGUCGGGAGUUCGGAAUCUCUCAACGCCCAC
This 76-nucleotide transfer RNA is filed under the name bacterium. Its description in RNAcentral is "tRNA-Val". It matches the Rfam family "tRNA". Rfam says of the family: Transfer RNA (tRNA) molecules are approximately 80 nucleotides in length. Their secondary structure includes four short double-helical elements and three loops (D, anti-codon, and T loops). The record is from RNAcentral.